ACAUACUCUAUCUUGUUUUUAGCCUCAUCACAUGACCUCUUGUAUUUGUGCCCGUGAUCAAAAUCUGAAAAUUCAAAAAUAAUUACGCGCAAUGGCCAAAGUUGAAUUAGUAGACGUCGAUGACAUACAUAAAAAUUCUCUUGUUAGCAGUGCUGACAGCGACGAGUACCUAGGAAUAGUGGACGAUGGCUCACUUGGCGACGACGAUAAAUCCCAUUUAGUAACGCAGUCGUUUUUGGACACAAAUGAUAACAGUACCUCAUACAGCUUUAGGGAUGUGCAGGCAGGUUCUGUAACAUACAAACUUGUGAUGUCGGAUGAUGCAACAAACAGCAUGGCUACAAAUUCACCACCACAUGAAUACUAUGUGAUAAGCAGUCCGGGGGAGGUGUUCGGACCACCAGUUGAAAAGAAAGUCAAAAGAGAACCUGUACCUGAAAAAGCUAUUACGGCUAAAAGGCGAGAUGAGAAGCGUCGCGCGACCCACAAUGAGGUGGAGAGGCGGCGUCGGGACAAGAUAAACAGCUGGAUCACCAAGCUGGCUGCCCUGGUGCCCGAUGCCAUGGCAGAUUCUUCCAGCAAAGGAUGCAUUCUGUCCAAGGCAUGCGACCACAUCACGGACCUCACAAGGAAACAGAAGAGACUAGAAAAACUAGAAGUAGAAAACAAGAAGCUUAUGUUAGAAGUGUUAAGACUAAAACAGGAAUUAGUUGACGUACGAAAAGAGAGUGCCAUUAUGCGAAACGACCUAGCGGACACGUGCAUAGUCGCCAGCCAGCGGGCCAAAGGCCAGAAGUCCUAGCUGUAACCCGCCAGGUGUCAACCGAACCGUGAACUUAACCAAGGUGCUGAUAUAGCUAAGUGUGAUUUGACUGUGUAGUGACGUCAUAAAGCAUCAGUUAUUUCAUCUGGCAUCACCGGCCAGUGUUGCCAGAAAUGGCCAGAACCGAUUAACCCGUUUAAGGGUAGUCGAACGAAAAAAGGCUAUGAAGUUUCCAUACAAUUUACGUGAAGAAUAGCAGGCAGAGCGCGUAUUUUUACGCAGUUGUAAGGUGUUAUUGAUUGUAUAGUUAAUAAUGUUGAUGUACAUUGAAAUGUUUUCGUUUGAUAUAAACAAAACAGUUCAAUUUAAAUAUGAAUGUUUGAAAACGUUUUGUUAUUUUUUGGCAUAGUUUUAACAUUAUUAUUUUAGCUGUUACAACAUCAUUAAUGUUUUUAGUUUUGUAUAAAAUGUACAAUCUAAUUGGAAAAGGAUUUUUCUUUUAAAACACAUUCAGUAUUGUUUUGAGUAAAUAUGCAUGUUUUAUGAUUUGUUUCCCAUACAUUAAAGGAUAGUAAGAUAAAACUUGUAAGGCACUAAAUAUAUGAAAGAAAAGGUCUAAGAUUGUAUGUGGUGUUUUGAAAUCAUAUGUAGCAUGAGUUGUUUGAUUUUAUUCAAAUCAUAGUAAUGUUUGAAAGUUGCAACAUUAUCCUAUGUCUUCGAUUUACGUAAAUUGAAAUUGGUUUCAAUAUCAAAAAGAUUUGGAAUAAGGAAUUUAGGGAUUGCCUUUUUCAAGCUAAGAUAUGAAUACGAACGUUUCAUAUAUUUAAAAAGUAUGUUUAAGAAAGCUGAUAUUCUAAAUCGGUAAGAUUAGAAAAUAAUAUUUAGUAGAUUGAACAAAUAUUGUCUAUGUACUAGAAAUAAUUACUUGUGAUAAACUUCCUAAGUACCAACAAUACAAAGAUUAUAGCAAGUGUUAUGAAAUUUUCAAUAGACAAUAUAGGAAGGUUAUCUAAGAUUCCGUGUUGAAAAUAUUUACUUGUAAAUUGGUACCCAUUCGCA
Ostrinia furnacalis (Asian corn borer) is the source of this 1822-nucleotide RNA transcript. It is a transcript of the gene named upstream transcription factor usf, with no coding region annotated. NCBI's taxonomy places the organism in Eukaryota, Metazoa, Arthropoda, Insecta, Lepidoptera, Crambidae. The transcript has 8 exons. The record is from RefSeq and is a predicted model, not a curated record.